RNAcentral lists this ribosomal RNA (253 nucleotides) under uncultured bacterium. RNAcentral's name for it is "partial 16S ribosomal RNA". It matches the Rfam family "Bacterial small subunit ribosomal RNA", at positions 524 to 776 of the family's 1533-position model. The record is from RNAcentral.
UACGAAGGUGGCAAGCGUUGUUCGGAUUUACUGGGCGUAAAGAGCGCGCAGGCGGUCGUACAAGUCGCGUGUGAAAGCCCCCGGCUCAACUGGGGAGGGUCACGCGAUACUGUUCGACUCGAAGGCAGGAGAGGGAAGUGGAAUUCCCGGUGUAGUGGUGAAAUGCGUAGAUAUCGGGAGGAACACCAGUGGCGAAGGCGACUUCCUGGCCUGUUCUUGACGCUGAGGCGCGAAAGCUAGGGUAGCAAACGGG